UACGUAGGGCGCAAGCGUUAUCCGGAAUUAUUGGGCGUAAAGAGCUCGUAGGCGGUUUGUCGCGUCUGCCGUGAAAGUCCGGGGCUCAACUCCGGAUCUGCGGUGGGUACGGGCAGACUAGAGUGAUGUAGGGGAGACUGGAAUUCCUGGUGUAGCGGUGGAAUGCGCAGAUAUCGGGAGGAACACCGGUGGCGAAGGCGGGUCUCUGGGCCGUUACUGACGCUGAGGAGCGAAAGCGUGGGGAGCGAACAGG
RNAcentral lists this ribosomal RNA (253 nucleotides) under uncultured bacterium. RNAcentral describes it as "partial 16S ribosomal RNA". It matches the Rfam family "Bacterial small subunit ribosomal RNA", at positions 524 to 776 of the family's 1533-position model. The record is from RNAcentral.